This is a long non-coding RNA of Centruroides sculpturatus (bark scorpion), 717 nucleotides long. RefSeq lists it as uncharacterized. The transcript is spliced from 3 exons. NCBI's taxonomy places the organism in Eukaryota, Metazoa, Arthropoda, Arachnida, Scorpiones, Buthidae. The record is from RefSeq and is a predicted model, not a curated record.
ACCGAAAUUUUGCCUGAUUUUACAAAAAGUAAUACAAAAAGAAGAUAUAAAAUAAGAGAAUAAACACGAAACGAAAGAGAGAAACGAAGAAGAAAUAUUUCGGCAACGAAAAACAAACGAAAGUAUAUUUAGGAAAUUAACGCCAACAAACCGACAACAAAUUACUGCGAAAGAAACUCAUGAAUUAAAAAGGAUUAUCCAGUUUUGAAGAAACAUAAGGCAAGCCUAGUAGCGGCGGAAGGAACUUCCUCAAAUGUGUUGUCAUAGUUUAAAGGUAUUUUCUCAAAAUUGUUCCGGUUUGAGGAAAAAAUAUUAUGUCCACGGACCCCUGGUUAAGAAUCACGCUACAGCAGAUAAUUAAAAUGAAGAUUUCAAAUCUUUUAUUUUCAUUAUAGAAGUAGAAAUUGUGUAUUGGUUGAGGAUUAUACAAAUAAAAUUAUAUUCAUUUAUUCUAUAAAAUUCGAAUAACUUUUUCUUCUUGAUAAGAGCGUCUUUAAAUAAAUACAGAUCUUAUGCCAGACAGGGCACAAUUUAGAUUUAUUGUGGGCCUAAGCUAUAAGAUAUAGGAGGAGGCCUACGAGGCCCUAAUCUGCCGCUUGUUUAGCUUCUAUGUAUAAAUUCGGGCCUCUUCUAGAUAAUUAAAAAUAUCAUUUUCUACAAAAUUAUUGAAUAAAAUAUUAGAUAAAAUCUAUAAUAUUUGUGACACGAACUUAAAAA